RNAcentral lists this unclassified non-coding RNA (253 nucleotides) under uncultured Sphingomonadaceae bacterium. RNAcentral's name for it is "contains 16S-23S intergenic spacer region". It matches the Rfam family "Bacterial small subunit ribosomal RNA", at positions 524 to 776 of the family's 1533-position model. Lineage: Bacteria; Pseudomonadati; Pseudomonadota; Alphaproteobacteria; Sphingomonadales; Sphingomonadaceae. The record is from RNAcentral.
UACGGAGGGAGCUAGCGUUGUUCGGAAUUACUGGGCGUAAAGCGCACGUAGGCGGCUUUGUAAGUUAGAGGGGAAAGCCCGGGGCUCAACUCCGGAACUGCCUUUAAAACUGCAUCGCUUGAAUCCAGGAGAGGUGAGUGGAAUUCCGAGUGUAGAGGUGAAAUUCGUAGAUAUUCGGAAGAACACCAGUGGCGAAGGCGACUCGCUGGACAGGUAUUGACGCUGAGGAGCGAAAGCAUGGGGAGCGAACAGG